AAAACUUUCAACAACGGAUCUCUUGGUUCCAGCAUCGAUGAAGAACGCAGCGAAAUGCGAUAAAUAAUGUGAAUUGCAGAAUUCAGUGAAUCAUCGAGUCUUUGAACGCACAUUGCGCCCCUCGGUAUUCCGGGGGCAUGCCUGUUCGAGCGUCAUUA
Molecule: ribosomal RNA, 158 nt
Filed under: Melanelixia glabra
Lineage: Eukaryota; Fungi; Ascomycota; Lecanoromycetes; Lecanorales; Parmeliaceae
Also listed under: 1 other name
Description: 5.8S ribosomal RNA
Rfam family: 5.8S ribosomal RNA
About the family: 5.8S ribosomal RNA (5.8S rRNA) is a component of the large subunit of the eukaryotic ribosome.
Source: RNAcentral